RNAcentral lists this microRNA precursor (147 nucleotides) under Olea europaea subsp. europaea. The record is from RNAcentral. Lineage: Eukaryota; Viridiplantae; Streptophyta; Magnoliopsida; Lamiales; Oleaceae.
UCUGAAAAUUUCAAAAUGUAUUGCAAGAACCAAACUAAAACCUUUGAUUCUCAAUGAUUCAACAUGAAGUGGCUCUGAUACCACUUGUUGUAUAAUUGAGAAUCAAAGAUUUUAGUUUGGUUCUUGCAAUACAUUUUGAAAUUUUCA